Long non-coding RNA from Centrocercus urophasianus (Greater sage-grouse), 371 nucleotides. RefSeq lists it as uncharacterized. The record is from RefSeq and is a predicted model, not a curated record. NCBI's taxonomy places the organism in Eukaryota, Metazoa, Chordata, Aves, Galliformes, Phasianidae. The transcript is spliced from 2 exons.
UCUGGGCAUCACCUUGGCCCCGCGGCCCUACAAGAUCUGUGCAGUGCCUCGGUAGGGAGUGCGGCCACUGUUCUCAGAGGGAGAACUCUCAGCUUUAAAUGGCACAUUUUACACACUGUAUCAGCUGAAAAAGAUUGGUCAGGGCCCUUUUGGGCUUGCAGUCCAGCACUGUCAGUGAAUGAGGUACUCAGGCCUUAAUUAAUUCCAUGUCUGAUGGCCAUGCAUCACAGCUGUGGAUCAGUAAUGGAAGGGAGCAGUACAAAUAGUGACUGGAAACAGUUUCUAUUUUGAUCUUAGGAAAACUGUUAGAAGUACACUGAUGCCCUGUGACAUCUCCCUCUCUUGCACAUUAAUAAAUCCCAAUUGAAGCA